UGGCUCUCGCAUCGAUGAAGAACGCAGCGAAAUGCGAUAAGUAAUGUGAAUUGCAGAAUUCAGUGAAUCAUCGAAUCUUUGAACGCACCUUGCGCCUCUUGGUAUUCCGAGAGGCAUGCCUGUUUGAGUGUCAUGAAACAUCAAUCCCCGAGGGUUUUUCGCCCUCGGUGGACUUGGAACUGGGCGUCUGCCUCCCAAGGCUCGCCUCAAAUGACUUAGUGGGAACUUCUUGACCUAUGCCUGACGUGAUAAGUUUCGUCUCGGCCGGUCUUGAGGCCUGCUCAUAACAACCCAUACCUUUAAUAUUGACCUCAAAUCAGGUAGGGCUACCCGCUGA
Molecule: unclassified non-coding RNA, 337 nt
Filed under: uncultured fungus
Lineage: Eukaryota; Fungi
Description: partial contains 5.8S ribosomal RNA and internal transcribed spacer 2
Rfam family: 5.8S ribosomal RNA (bases 1-133)
Source: RNAcentral